AACCGGGGACGACCCCGGUUUCAUUUCACUCAAGUCCGGGACGGCCCGG
This 49-nucleotide non-coding RNA is filed under the name Pantoea sp. RNAcentral's name for it is "Guanidine-II sequence". It matches the Rfam family "Guanidine-II riboswitch aptamer (mini-ykkC)". From Rfam's summary of the family: Simpler in structure and has fewer highly conserved nucleotide positions than the ykkC-yxkD leader. Lineage: Bacteria; Pseudomonadati; Pseudomonadota; Gammaproteobacteria; Enterobacterales; Erwiniaceae. The record is from RNAcentral.